This 70-nucleotide transfer RNA is filed under the name Polycladospora coralii. It matches the Rfam family "tRNA". From Rfam's summary of the family: Transfer RNA (tRNA) molecules are approximately 80 nucleotides in length. Their secondary structure includes four short double-helical elements and three loops (D, anti-codon, and T loops). Lineage: Bacteria; Bacillati; Bacillota; Bacilli; Caryophanales; Thermoactinomycetaceae. The record is from Rfam by way of RNAcentral.
GGUGCGGUAGUUUAAUUGUAAAAUACCAGCCUUUCAAGCUGAAGAUGGAGGCCUAUGCCUCCCCGUAUCU